This 484-nucleotide ribosomal RNA is filed under the name uncultured bacterium. RNAcentral's name for it is "partial 16S ribosomal RNA". It matches the Rfam family "Bacterial small subunit ribosomal RNA", at positions 30 to 507 of the family's 1533-position model. The record is from RNAcentral.
AUUGAACGCUGGCGGCAGGCCUAACACAUGCAAGUCGAGCGGAUGAAGGGAGCUUUCUCCUGGAUUCAGCGGCGGACGGGUGAGUAAUGCCUAGGAAUCUGCCUGGUAGUGGGGGAUAACGUCCGGCAACGGGCGCUAAUACCGCAUACGUCCUUAGGUAGAAAGUGGGGGAUCUUCGGACCUCACGCUAUCAGAUGAGCCUAGGUCGGAUUAGCUAGUUGGUGGGGUAAAGGCCUACCAAGGCGACGAUCCGUAACUGGUCUGAGAGGAUGAUCAGUCACACGGGAACUGAGACACGGUCCAGAAUACUACGGGAGGAAGCAGUGGGGAAUAUUGGACAAUGGGCGAAAGCCUGAUCCAGCCAUGCCGCGUGUGUGAAGAAGGUCUUCGGAUUGUAAAGCACUUUAAGUUGGGAGGAAGGGAAGUAAGUUAAUACCUUGCUGUUUUGACGUUACCAACAGAAUAAGCACCGGCUAACUUCGUG